UGGUCACACCCCAUAUUAAUGGACAGAUGGC
This 31-nucleotide non-coding RNA is filed under the name Macaca fascicularis (crab-eating macaque). RNAcentral also lists the same sequence under 1 other name. Lineage: Eukaryota; Metazoa; Chordata; Mammalia; Primates; Cercopithecidae. The record is from RNAcentral.